UUCGCCUUCGGUCAUGAUAACGUUUUUUCUACAAUGACUACACCAAUUUGCUUGUGGAGAAUCUAAUUUCUGAGCAUCAAUUUUACGAGGAUCUUCGAUUUUUCCCCUUUCACCAAGUGAAGGUGACGCUGGGAUUUGCGAAAAUCUCCCUCGAUCAAUGGUCUUACUUGAGAGAGAAAGUAUCGCACCACAUCGCACAUCAUUCUUUCCAACAAAAUUAGGGUUCAAGACUCAAGAAUACCUCUUUCUCUUCGUUCUCAUUCGCAAAAAGAUCAUGAUGAUUAUUACUCUUCCCAUCCAUGGCGUCGCGCGC
This is a long non-coding RNA of Arabidopsis thaliana (thale cress), 313 nucleotides long. RefSeq annotates it as other RNA. NCBI's taxonomy places the organism in Eukaryota, Viridiplantae, Streptophyta, Magnoliopsida, Brassicales, Brassicaceae. The record is from RefSeq. The transcript has a single exon.